Molecule: ribosomal RNA, 1866 nt
Filed under: Triticum aestivum (bread wheat)
Lineage: Eukaryota; Viridiplantae; Streptophyta; Magnoliopsida; Poales; Poaceae
Description: partial small subunit ribosomal RNA
Source: RNAcentral
CGGUCAACGUCGAACCUUUGAACCUGCUCACUCCUGGAGGAUACCUCUCCCGCUGCAUACCAUUUUUGGACGCCUAAGCGUGCACUCGAGGGACCUGACAACUGGGCAGCAGUGCGUAUGCCUAACGAGGUGAGCCUGACAACUGGGCAGCAGUACGCGCGCGGCCAAGGUCGAAGAAAGUAGGUAGGUACAGCUGCCGCGAGGGAGGGAGGCGCAGGCGCAGGCGUAGGCGUACGUAUGUAUAUGCUCACUGGACCCCUACCUUGCCUGGCGUAGAAGUGAGUGGCUCGGUGUGCGUACAGUACCUGGGCAAGGUGCCGUAUGAGUAGCGCCGCCGGUAGGAGCACGACAAGGAGUAGAAGCAGCGGAAGGGCGAGUCGAAGGAGGCGAUGAUGAAGUCGUGGUCGCAGCGGCUCCACGGGCGCGGCUCCCCGCAGCCGUGCCUCGACGACCCGAGCGACGGCCAGUGCCACAUGGCGUGCCUCCUGGUGCAGCCCCACGACCUCACGCGCCACACGGACCGGCCCGAGGUCCUGCCCCUCGUCCGCUCCAAGGACGGGACGACGCCGGUGCCCAAGGUGCGGCCCACGUAGUCGCGCACCGACCGCAGGGCGGGGUGGACGGGCGAGACGGCCCAGUGGCAGCAGCCGUUCGAAGGGCUGCGCGAAUGUAGCUGCUCAGAGGGAGGGUGUGGCGUCCUCGGGCGCUUAAUGCGGCCCUUGGACGGCCGCUCACACGACUACGAGCCCCAAAGUCUGGUCCGGUGCGAGCCGCGCCACUGGCACCGGAGACUACCUCUCCGGCGAGGCGGGAACGUUGCCGUCGCCACGACCACUAACUAUAAGGCCGCAGUUCAGUUCCUACCACCGCGCUGCUCAGGUUCAGAGGCCCGUACAAGUUCUCCGACACCUCGAAGCCCUCCGUUCUUGGCAGCCGCAGGUGAUGCCGAACGAGGCCGCCGUCACCGUUGCCUUGUCCGUCGUCUACAUCUCGACCAUCGUAGUGGACACGACACGUACGUUGGGGCUCUCGAGGCAACAUCCACUUCGUAUCUCGGCCUUUAACAGUGGCCUACACGGCGGGUCUCUAGUUGAGGUUGCGGGUUCGAGACGUAUAUAAACGUACGACCAUACCCUGUAUCUAUAAGAAUCUAAAAGUAAUUUUUUUACUAUAAGAGGUCGGAUCCUUAAUCAUCAAGGUACGCACAUACUAGCAAAAUGAGUGCAGUAAAAAUUCUGUGCAGCGAAUCGCCGAUUCAGUAAAAGGUUGCGGAGACGAUACACCUCCUUAACCGAAAUGGUUAGUCCACCGAGCUCGAGUCGUAUACACCGGUCCACCACCUCAUAAAGCCUAAGGACAAUAGAGUAAUAAUAGGUACGUAAAACAUUAGAUAGAUUACACUGGGUAGUUGCAAAAAAUAGAAGAUUUACUUUACAACAGUUUUAUUAAAAAUGUUGUUUAGGUGUUUCUCAGUUUAUAGAAUAAAAUAAUAAAAAUUAGUUUAAACAAGUUAAUAAAAUCACCGUAAGCUGUUAAUAAAAAAUGAAUUGAAGUUUUAAUAAAGUCACCAAACUUAACCAGGUUUCUACACAACAACCGUGUAAAGAUUUUACCUGGAGCCUACAAUGCUGUUCGCGUUUGUUGUUAGGUAGAACUAUCAGAUUGUGUAAACGUUAUUCUGGAGUAUAAAGUAGUUUCAGUUUUGUAGCAUUACUUUGGAGUCACUCUUUACCUCAUGUACAACGUAAACUAAUUUAUAUUCCAAGUAAAACGUUUUACAUGAGCAUACAUAGAGUCAGAACAGGUAGUAAAGGUGUAGGUUCCCUGUUUUUAGUACCCCACGUACUCACGUGUCUAGACAGUAAA